GACAGAGGUCCCGAGCGUUAGGCGGAAUCACUGGGCUUAAAGCGUGUGUAGGCGGAUGUCUAAGUACUUUGUGAAAUCCCACGGCUUAACCGUGGAAUUGCUUGGUAUACUGGGGAACUUGAGUGCAGAAGAGGAAAGUGGAAUUCCAAGUGUAGCGGUGAAAUGCGUAGAUAUUUGGAGGAACACCAGUGGCGAAGGCGGUUCUCUGGGCCUGUACUGACGCUGAGGAGCGAAAGCGUGGGGAGCGAACAGG
Molecule: ribosomal RNA, 253 nt
Filed under: uncultured bacterium
Lineage: Bacteria
Description: partial 16S ribosomal RNA
Rfam family: Bacterial small subunit ribosomal RNA
Source: RNAcentral